GAGGAAACUUUGGAAGAAAACAAUAAGGUUAGAAGGAACCCAUGUGCUUUGAUGAAAUAGAGCACCAUCGGGUAAGUAUAUAUUUAAAUAUUAUGGUGACACGCGAAUGAGGUGCGAACUUUAUAUUAUAUUUAUAAACAUGUCAAGGAAGGAAGAAGAAGAAAAAUUAGAAUUUUAAAAGUGAUGGAAGGAUUCAAUAAAAGGAAUGAGAACUUAGAAGGGCUAAAUGCUGACUUUUCUUUCUCUCAUUCUUCUUCCACAUGGUCUGUCAUCCAUGCUAUGGUUGUUGGAAAAAUUGGUACAUGUAGGGAAAGAGAGGAUUGGAAAAUAAUUAUAGGGAAAAAGACAAAGAAACCUACAUAUGUUGACUAGCCAACUCACCUUGAAACUUCUUGAAUUUUCUUCAUGCUUCCACCCUUUGGCCGGCCAAAAAGGGAGAGACCUUUUCUAUUUUUUUUUCUUCUUAUCAUGUUCAACACUAGAACUUUCUCUUUCCUUUGUCAUUAAGCAUUCUCUUCUUUCUUUCUUUCACCCACCGUCACUUGCACCUUGUGAAGAAAUUCUUCCUCCCAAACCGUGGCUUCACCAUAAUCAGCCAAACCUCAAGCUUUUUUCUCCAUUUUAUCCCUUGUUUCUUCCUUUUUAUCCUUCCUCUACAUGAAGUUCUUUCCUUUUCCUUCCCCAUACCUGAAAUUAUAGUGGAUUUGUGAGUUGAUUCAAGAGUUCUAAGCAAAGGAAAUUUAGGUGUGAGAACUGAUGCCUUGGAGUGGGAAAAAUCCAGCAAAAUCCAGGAACUAUAUACUUGAAUGGUAGCAAAUUAGCAUCCCAAAAUUUUAAGGGAGAUUCGAGAGUAAGCCGGUUGUCAUUCCGGUUAAUUGUGACCCUUAUGCACAAAUGAGCUCUAGCUAGAGAACUUUUGGGUAGCCGACGAGUUGUUAGACAUGCUAGGGCCAAGGUUUGUGAUUUUACAUGGCUAGGCCACAAAUGAUUAUAUGCAGUUGUGACCACUUGAUUUUUCUCUGAUGUCAACCAACAUCAUUGAGAUAGCCAUGGCAUAUGGGGAUCUGGUGCAAUGGAGCUGCCGGAUACUAUGAUGUGGAAACGGGUCCACAUGUUGUUAUUUUGUACCUACUCGAGAGUGAUAUUUCUUUUGGUUUUUGUAUAAGUAAUCAAUUUUAAGAUUUUGUUCAGCAUCUUGAAGUUAGCUACAAUCUAGGUAAUGGCAUCUCUAGACUUCCACUUAAAGUCGCUCCGCUGCCUAGAGGUUGGUUUGUGUCAAAUAGUCUGGCUUGUAAUGAUUAAUAGUUACUGAAAAUGUACUGGUUAGAACUUAAGGUUAUGUAAUGACUACUACAUAUUAUGUUGAAAUCGUAUGGAAUUAUCAAA
Molecule: long non-coding RNA, 1386 nt
Organism: Theobroma umbraticum
Lineage: Eukaryota; Viridiplantae; Streptophyta; Magnoliopsida; Malvales; Malvaceae
Source: RefSeq, a predicted model, not a curated record